UCUGGCGAUGACGACACACUUGCCCUCACUGAGAGCUGAUGAGAGCUGUUUUAUGCGCUCAGUGGAGCCGAGCCAGA
Cuculus canorus (common cuckoo) is the source of this 77-nucleotide small nucleolar RNA. RefSeq annotates it as small nucleolar RNA SNORD103/SNORD85. The record is from RefSeq and is a predicted model, not a curated record. The transcript has a single exon. Lineage: Eukaryota; Metazoa; Chordata; Aves; Cuculiformes; Cuculidae.